AUUGAACGCUGGCGGCAUGCUUUACACAUGCAAGUCGAGCGGCAGCGCGGGGGCAACCCUGGCGGCGAGCGGCGAACGGGUGAGUAAUGCAUCGGAACGUACCCUGGAGUGGGGGAUAACGCCGCGAAAGCGGCGCUAAUACCGCAUAUGCUCUGAGGAGGAAAGUGGGGGGACCGCAAGGCCUCACGCUCUGGGAGCGGCCGAUGUCCGAUUAGCUAGUUGGUGGGGUAAAGGCUUACCAAGGCGACGAUCGGUAGCUGGUCUGAGAGGAUGAUCAGCCACACUGGGACUGAGACACGGCCCAGACUCCUACGGGAGGCAGCAGUGGGGAAUUUUGGACAAUGGGGGCAACCCUGAUCCAGCCAUGCCGCGUGAGUGAAGAAGGCCU
RNAcentral lists this ribosomal RNA (388 nucleotides) under uncultured bacterium. RNAcentral's name for it is "bacterial SSU rRNA". It matches the Rfam family "Bacterial small subunit ribosomal RNA", at positions 28 to 417 of the family's 1533-position model. The record is from RNAcentral.